UGCCACAGCCAUGUCACCCUGCAGCCCAAGACCGGUUACUCACUGAAGCUAAGCAGGGCUGAGCCUGGUCAGUGCCUGUAUGGGAGACCACUAGGGAACACUAGGUUGCUGUUGGAA
This 117-nucleotide ribosomal RNA is filed under the name Danio rerio (zebrafish). The record is from RNAcentral. Lineage: Eukaryota; Metazoa; Chordata; Actinopteri; Cypriniformes; Danionidae.